AUUGAACGCUGGCGGCAUGCCUUACACAUGCAAGUCGAACGGCAGCAUGGAGAGCUUGCUCUCUGAUGGCGAGUGGCGAACGGGUGAGUAAUGCAUCGGAACGUACCGUGUAAUGGGGGAUAACGUAGCGAAAGUUACGCUAAUACCGCAUACGACCUGAGGGUGAAAGCAGGGGAUCGCAAGACCUUGCGUUAUACGAGCGGCCGAUGUCAGAUUAGCUAGUUGGUGAGGUAAAGGCUCACCAAGGCGACGAUCUAUAGCGGGUCUGAGAGGAUGAUCGGCCAAAGUGGGACUGAGACACGGCCCAGACUAAUACGGGAGGCAGCAGUGGGGAAUUUUGGACAAUGGGGGCAACCCUGAUUCAGACAUGCCGCGUGAGUGAAGAAGGCCUUCGGGUUGUAAAGCUCUUUCGGCCAGGAAGAAAUCGCACAGGCUAAUACUCUGUGUGGAUGACGGUACCGGCAUAAGAAGCACCGGCUAACUACGUGCCAGCCGCCGCGGUAA
This 504-nucleotide ribosomal RNA is filed under the name uncultured bacterium. RNAcentral's name for it is "partial 16S ribosomal RNA". It matches the Rfam family "Bacterial small subunit ribosomal RNA", at positions 30 to 523 of the family's 1533-position model. The record is from RNAcentral.